UAAUAAGUGUUCUAUGGCACUUUUUAAAUCCAUAUCCACCUUGUGUGCAAUGUCAGUCGAUCUUCUUCAUGGAGAUCGACCAAACAUCAACCUUUAUCUUUUAACUCUUUGUCUGAAAAAUAUUAUGAAUAAACAAUUCAAAAUA
RNAcentral lists this unclassified non-coding RNA (145 nucleotides) under soil metagenome. Its description in RNAcentral is "partial internal transcribed spacer 1". The record is from RNAcentral.